Molecule: long non-coding RNA, 602 nt
Organism: Alosa alosa (allis shad)
Lineage: Eukaryota; Metazoa; Chordata; Actinopteri; Clupeiformes; Clupeidae
Exons: 3
Source: RefSeq, a predicted model, not a curated record
AACGUCGCAAAAACAGCAGUUUAUUUCCUGGCUUUGGAACAGAUAGCAUUCAAACUGCACCGGAGUUCUAACGAACCGUACCCCUGACCCUCGUUUUCUAGUGGACCCUGGUCUGGACCCUGCUGUUUUAUUCCAAGUCUUUCCUUGUCAGGAAGACCAUCAAAUGGCUUUAGAAAUCCGGAGAAAAAUCAUCAAGUUCUUCACAACAGAACACAACAGUGAAAAUGACAGAACCAGGAGUAGAAGGAAACGAUGUGCUCUAUGGCUCGGGGCUUGCCUGGAUCCUUGACACAGUGAUGCACUUCUGUUGUGAGUCUGCUGCAGCAGCAUAUGAACUGUCACUUGUUACUUUAAAUAAUAGAUUGCCUCCCCUAAUUUCCUGCCUGAUAUUUUUGGCAGAGUGGAGAGACUUGCGGACAGGCAGCAUCUGUCAGCUCCACAGUGGAAGCCAGAAAUUUUCCACACACAAAAUUUAGUGGAAAAUAAUACACUAGCAAGCUCAACUCUCCCAAGUUUGCUAACUUGUAGUGAAUAUCAGAGAUCAGAUUGAGACACAAUUUGCAACACACACACAUACACAUACACAUACACAUACACAUACA